Long non-coding RNA from Octopus sinensis (East Asian common octopus), 273 nucleotides. RefSeq lists it as uncharacterized. The record is from RefSeq and is a predicted model, not a curated record. The transcript is spliced from 3 exons. NCBI's taxonomy places the organism in Eukaryota, Metazoa, Mollusca, Cephalopoda, Octopoda, Octopodidae.
UCGAACUUUGUUUACAAAUGAUCUUACAACAUUUAGAAAGUUGCUAAUUUCUAAAUCACUGUGGUUUGCAUGUAUAGCAAUUAUGACUGCAUGUCUUUCUAUUUCUUGAGUUAGCAUGAUAUCUUGAAAGGGUUAUCUGAAAACAAAAAUGAUACAUUAAAUAAUUUAAAGGUGUAAUGAACUAAAAACGAAGUGUCCUCAAAUACCCCUCGCAUCUUGUAUAUAUAUAUGUAUAUAUAUACACACAUACACAUGCACACACGUACACAUACA